UGAGGAAUAUUGGACAAUGGAUGGAAAUCUGAUCCAGCCAUGCCGCGUGCAGGAAGACGGCCCUAUGGGUUGUAAACUGCUUUUGUAUGGGAGCAAUAAGGACUACGUGUAGUUUGAUGAGAGUACCAUACGAAUAAGCAUCGGCUAACUCCGUGCCAGCAGCCGCGGUAAUACGGAGGAUGCGAGCGUUAUCCGGAUUUACUGGGCGUAAAGCGCGUGUAGGCGGUCUGGUUAGUUGGAUGUGAAAGCUCCCGGCUUAACUGGGAGAGGUCGUUCAAUACUGCCAUACUAGAGAGUGGUAGAGGGAGAUGGAAUUCCGGGUGUAGUGGUGAAAUGCGUAGAUAUCCGGAGGAACACCAGUGGCGAAAGCGAUCUCCUGGACCAUUUCUGACGCUCAGACGCGAAAGCUAGGGUAGCAAACG
Molecule: ribosomal RNA, 422 nt
Filed under: uncultured bacterium
Lineage: Bacteria
Description: bacterial SSU rRNA
Rfam family: Bacterial small subunit ribosomal RNA
Source: RNAcentral